RNAcentral lists this unclassified non-coding RNA (271 nucleotides) under plant metagenome. RNAcentral's name for it is "partial contains small subunit ribosomal RNA, internal transcribed spacer 1, and 5.8S ribosomal RNA". The record is from RNAcentral.
UUUCCGUAGGUGAACCUGCGGAAGGAUCAUUAAUGAGUUGUCAUGGGGUUCGAUGCUGGCAGCCAGUUUUUGGAUGCAUGUGCUUGCCCUAACAAUCAUCUUCUUCCAAACACCUGUGCACAUUUUGAGGGAGUCUUGAGUUGGUUGCCGCUCUUGGGUGAUUUUCUCACAUUCCCUUAAAUCAUUAUACGCUAUUAACAAUGUUGAACGUGCUCUGUGCCGCAAGGCCAUUAAUAUAAUACAACUUUUAACAACGGAUCUCUUGGCUCUC